RNAcentral lists this ribosomal RNA (253 nucleotides) under uncultured bacterium. RNAcentral describes it as "partial 16S ribosomal RNA". It matches the Rfam family "Bacterial small subunit ribosomal RNA", at positions 524 to 776 of the family's 1533-position model. The record is from RNAcentral.
GACGAACCGUGCGAACGUUGUUCGGAAUCACUGGGCUUAAAGGGCGCGUAGGCGGGGUCAUAAGUCUGUGGUGAAAUCCUCCGGCUCAACCGGAGAACUGCCUCGGAUACUGUGGCUCUCGAGGGUGGUAGGGGUAUGCGGAACUAUCGGUGGAGCGGUGAAAUGCGUUGAUAUCGAUAGGAACUCCGGUGGCGAAGGCGGCAUACUGGACCACUUCUGACGCUGAGGCGCGAAAGCCAGGGGAGCAAACGGG